This 350-nucleotide unclassified non-coding RNA is filed under the name Hevea brasiliensis (rubber tree). The record is from RNAcentral. Lineage: Eukaryota; Viridiplantae; Streptophyta; Magnoliopsida; Malpighiales; Euphorbiaceae.
AUAAUAUAGCCUCAAUAUCAACAUCUCAAGUUGGAUGCUUAAUAGAAUGAACAUAAAGUAUCAAAUAUUCCAGCACGAAUACAUGAUCAUUACAAAGUUGAUUGGCGCAAAACUCUAGAGUAACAAACCAACUGAAAUGUUUAAACAAGAUAGGAAUAACACAACACCCAAGAAGUCGUGAGAGGCACACCAGCGCACUAUAUGUUGUUUGGUCAUUGAUCGAUAGUAAAAACUUCUCAAUCUCAUUUAAGCCCUCCCAUUCCACUCUUCAUAGAACUCCUUCAGAAAAUCCUCCAUAAAUUUGUGCCUUUUCUCAGCCCUUCUCUUACCAGCCUUUGUCUUCAUCAAGU